AGGGAUAAGCCCAGCACCGAAGCCUGUGGCCAUUUGAGUUACUAGGCAAUGUGGUGUUCAGGUCGUUCCGCGGAGGUUCUGCUCCACCCUAAGUCCAUCAAUGAGUACGGUAUUAUGGACAUGGCCCACAGAGGGGGAGAGGGUGAUGGGGGUGGUUGAUACCCAAGCCAUAGUGAACUAUGCUUGACCUUGUUGACGGGUUGUUAAACUCUGGUGGAGGACCUGGGCGGUACUCACCUGCAAAUGCAUAGUACUUGGUGAAUUCCGGGGCCAAAGACUAACCGAGCGGGAAAGUAGAUGGGUCCCUCGAAAAUUUCGCUCACGAUGCCUGAAACCGCUCAGAGGUAAACGGGUGGAGUUGAACUGCAAGCUCUGGGAAUUCAACUGGUGAGUGUGGUUUGAGCUUGGUCAUAUUGGUGGACGUCGGGGUCUGCGUAGCAGCAGGUCUUCGCCUUCGGGUGGGGAUGCGCGAUGCACUUAUCAAGUGUUGUGCGCCUCGGUUGUUCCCGGCCAACUCGCUAGUGCACUUUCUCAGAGUGGUCACCACGACCGACGCCGCUGGCUGGCCGCUGUGGUUAAACCGAAUCUGCAUAGUCCCUGUGGCUUUGCUUAGUCGGGAUGGCAGGUAUCUCGUUGACUUGCUCGUGGUUCGCUGCGAGCGUGGUUUUCGAGUAUAAUCCGCUGACCGUGGUGGUUCUGUACAGUGUGUCGGGGACGGCGGCUCGAGGUGUGUGCAUGCGUUGCUGUUUUGCUGACUGGUCCGAGUUUGGUUAUUUUGUAGCCUGUUCAAUCAGGUCUGGUAGUAGCUAGGAUUUGUUCGGCUGGCGGUGGCGUGUGUGGCACUGUUCCAAGGGCCAACAGUCUGUGGUGUAGUGGUAGACGAUCCACCUGACCCGUCUUGAAAUAAGGACCACAGAGAGUAACGGAAAAGAAACUAACAAGGCUUCCCGAAACCCAAAGGAGAAGUGAAAGUAAAGGUCAGCACCGAUCCCGGUGACCUGAGAUCCAGUCGUCUCUCACGCGUUCUAGUCCCUCCCAUGAGGCUGUGGUCCCCCCACCGUCCAACCACAAGUCAUGUAUUAACCACCAGGCCCCCAUCGGGGCGGAGCAUGAGCGUACAUGUUGAGACCCGAAAGAUGGUGAACUAUGCUUGCGCAGGUUGAAGCCAGAGGAAACUCUGGUGGAGGACCGCAGCGAAUCUGACGUGCAAAUCGAUCGUCAAAC
Molecule: ribosomal RNA, 1224 nt
Filed under: Haematoloechus meridionalis
Lineage: Eukaryota; Metazoa; Platyhelminthes; Trematoda; Plagiorchiida; Haematoloechidae
Description: partial large subunit ribosomal RNA
Rfam family: Eukaryotic large subunit ribosomal RNA
Source: RNAcentral